This 244-nucleotide ribosomal RNA is filed under the name uncultured Latescibacterota bacterium. RNAcentral's name for it is "uncultured Latescibacteria bacterium partial 16S ribosomal RNA". It matches the Rfam family "Bacterial small subunit ribosomal RNA", at positions 1139 to 1382 of the family's 1533-position model. Lineage: Bacteria; Pseudomonadati; Candidatus Latescibacterota. The record is from RNAcentral.
CUGGGGAGGACUGCCGGUGAUAAACCGGAGGAAGGCGGGGAUGACGUCAAGUCCUCAUGGCCCUUACAUCCCGGGCUACACACGUGCUACAAUGGCAGGUACAGAGGGCUGCGAAGCCGCGAGGUGGAGCGAAUCCCAGAAAACCUGUCUCAGUCCGGAUUGAAGUCUGCAACUCGACUUCAUGAAGGCGGAAUCGCUAGUAACCGCGAAUCAGCAGGUCGCGGUGAAUACGUUCCCGGGCCUU